CGAAAGUUAACAUAUACAAGAACCUAUAAAAGUAGGGAUCUACCCUGUUUGGUUGCAUUUUAGCAUAUAUAAGAACCUAUAUAUUUAAGCUUAAAGUUAGGGAUCUGCCCUAUUUGGUUGCAUACUAGCAUAGACAAAAACCUAUUGAGUUUCGUGCUACAUUAACCUAUUUAAUUGUACGGUUCUACGGAAAAGUCGAGCUUUCCCUGUCUACAAGCAAAGAUUAGCCGAAGAAAUUAUUGAAAAAUACUUAGCAAACGUAAGAGUAAGAGAGGCAUCAUCUAUCAAUGAUACAUUAACGCGAUAUACUGGCCGGCAUUUUCCUAUACGGUUACCUCCAACACUAAAAAGGCGAAGGAAAACAUCAAAACGAUGCAUUAUAUGCUUAUCAAUGUUAGUUCGGAAAGAAACAGUUUUUAAAUGCGAUGUAUGCGAUGUAGCAUUACGUAUGGAUCGUUUUAAAAAAUACCAUGUUAAAUAAACUCUAAGAACUAUUCGGAAGUCAUUUACUUUAGAAGUUAACAAAAAUAAUAAAACUCCCGAUAUACGGCAACGCGCGGUGAUACAGGCCAACUGUCAGUUGAACGACGCUGAUGUCUGAACGGAGUAACUUAAGUAAAAUCAUGAUUCAAAUGAGUUACAAAAAUGAUAAAAAUAAAAAAAGCCAAUUGGCUAUAAGCGAGAUAUAAGGACAUGAAGACGUAACGACAUAUAUAUGUAACUACGAAACUAACCACGCUUUUUAUCCAUCUUUCAUUCAUUAUUGACUCAAGAUUAUUAAUUCUAUGAAUUUUGAUUUUUUAAAAUUCGAAGAAUUAUAUUAAAAUGAACAUUUCACAUUAUAUUGAAAAGAAAUGAUACUUCUCAUUUGGUAUCCAGUGAAAGAAUGACGAAAAGAUAGGAGGAAGAUUGUGAAAGAUGAAACGAAAAUACGAAAUUUUUCAACGAAAAUUUAAAAAAUAGCCAAUCAGAACUCCCUACCAAAAAAAUUAUUUUUAAAAUUAUAGUAAAUUAUGUCAAUAUUGGUUGCGAAAAUUUCAUUUCGGAAGAAAAUCAAAAAUUUUUACGAAAAUUUAACAUAUCUGAAUUUUUUAUGGUACAUAUAAACUAGGGUUAGAAAUAAUGCAAAAUGUCAGAAUAUAAUAAUUUAUUAACAGAGAACAAAGAAAAUAAACAAUACAUUUACAAAUAUUAGAUAUACUUAAUAUGUAUGUGUAUCUCUAUACCAAUAAACCAUCCUAUAAAGGAAAAC
Molecule: long non-coding RNA, 1252 nt
Organism: Bombus huntii
Lineage: Eukaryota; Metazoa; Arthropoda; Insecta; Hymenoptera; Apidae
Exons: 2
Source: RefSeq, a predicted model, not a curated record